AUCGCUUCUCGGCCUUUUGGCUAAGAUCAAGUGUAGUAUCUGUUCUUAUCAGUUUGGAUUUUACUACGGAUUUACACGGAUUUUACGCUGAAGAGAAUUGCUGCGCUUGGGCUUUUUUAUAGCUUUUAGCGAGACCAAGGGUGAUCCUAU
Small nuclear RNA from Electrophorus electricus (electric eel), 150 nucleotides. Its record names the gene U2. It matches the Rfam family "U2 spliceosomal RNA". From Rfam's summary of the family: U2 is a small nuclear RNA (snRNA) component of the spliceosome (involved in pre-mRNA splicing). Complementary binding between U2 snRNA (in an area lying towards the 5' end but 3' to hairpin I) and the branchpoint sequence (BPS) of the intron results the bulging out of an unpaired adenosine, on the BPS, which initiates a nucleophilic attack at the intronic 5' splice site, thus starting the first of two transesterification reactions that mediate splicing. Lineage: Eukaryota; Metazoa; Chordata; Actinopteri; Gymnotiformes; Gymnotidae. The record is from Ensembl.